GACGUAGGGCGCGAGCGUUGUCCGGAAUUACUGGGCGUAAAGAGCUCGUAGGUGGUUUGUCGCGUUGUCCGUGAAGACUCACAGCUCAACUGUGGGCGUGCGGGCGAUACGGGCAGACUGGAGUACUGCAGGGGAGACUGGAAUUCCUGGUGUAGCGGUGGAAUGCGCAGAUAUCAGGAGGAACACCGGUGGCGAAGGCGGGUCUCUGGGCAGUAACUGACGCUGAGGAGCGAAAGCGUGGGGAGCGAACAGG
Molecule: ribosomal RNA, 253 nt
Filed under: uncultured bacterium
Lineage: Bacteria
Description: partial 16S ribosomal RNA
Rfam family: Bacterial small subunit ribosomal RNA
Source: RNAcentral